Molecule: ribosomal RNA, 482 nt
Filed under: uncultured bacterium
Lineage: Bacteria
Description: partial 16S ribosomal RNA
Rfam family: Bacterial small subunit ribosomal RNA
Source: RNAcentral
GAUGAACGCUAGCGGCAGGCCUAAUACAUGCAAGUCGGACGGGAUUUAGGAGCUUGCUUCUGAUGAGAGUGGCGCACGGGUGCGUAACACGUAUGUAACCUACCUUUAUCAGGGGGAUAGCCUCUCGAAAGAGAGAUUAAGCCCGCAUAAAAUCACAGCACAGCAUUGUGUAAUGAUCAAAUAUUUAUAGGAUAAAGAUGGGCAUGCGGAACAUUAGCUAGAUGGCGGGGUAACGGCCCACCAUGGCGACGAUGUUUAGGGGAUCUGAGAGGAUGGCCCCCCACACUGGUACUGAGACACGGACCAGACUCCUACGGGAGGCAGCAGUAAGGAAUAUUGGUCAAUGGGCGGAAGCCUGAACCAGCCAUGCCGCGUGCAGGAAGACGGCCCUACGGGUUGUAAACUGCUUUUAUACGGGAAUAAACCCAGAUACGUGUAUCUGGCUGAAUGUACUGUAAGAAUAAGGAUCGGCUAACUCCGUG